GUGUGGGUCCUGGGUGCAUUUUUUACCAGCGUUAUUAUGGGAGGGGUGAAGGCCUCCAGGUGAAGGGGGUCUCAGGUCCACCAGGUCUGAAAAAGAGCCAGCCGCUUUAAGGCUGGCCUUUUAAGGGAUUAUUUCCAGAAUUCCCGGAAGGUGACCAGGCUGCGUGCUCCAUCUCCCGCACCCGCAGCGAGGGGGGCCAGGCUACCCGCCCGCCCGCGGGGCCCCACGACCUGGACACGACGCCCUGGCGGCAGGCCGGCUCCGCGGCUCGGGGACCCCGGCACUCCCUGGACAGGUGGUUAGCGGUCGUGACGCCCUGGACGAGGCUCCCUGGGCCUUUCUAGACUCUUCGCAGGAGCUCCCGCAAGCUCGCUCGGUUUCCCGGACGGCCGUGCAGGGGCUUGCACAGGGCUCGUUGCGUCUCGAAGGAUGGUCCCGGUUUGCGGGCCAGUCGCCUUCAGGCCACGUCCCCCGCGUCCGUGCCCUGCGCUUUCCUGGGGGAGCUCCGCUCCUGGCAGGAGGUUUUCUGUUUUCCCUUUCCUUUCGGGCUCCAUCUUCACCCUAAUAAUCUGGGAUAAAUGGAAGAGCUGGCCAAUGGUUAUUAACAUCUGACCGGCAGAGGCAAAGAGGAUAAUUGGCCUGAGCCUCAAAGUAGUCUUCGCCUUGAUCCUGAGGCAGAAGGUUAAGGAAGGCUGGUGGUUUGCUUUCACCCCUUGCUAGAGGGAGCUCAAGGUUGGCUGUGUUAAGACUGGCCUUCGCUGAGUUGUGUGAGGGGCUGGCCCUCAACUUUUUCCGGACCUGCCCCAAAUGCAUCAUCGUGAUUCACGGGUGGGCAGGGUAGAAGGGCAGCACACAGAGUUCCCUAGAACUAAAAGGGGGGGGGGACACAGCGCUGUCUACAACUAAAAGGGGGGGGGGACACAGCGCUGUCUACGUAGCACCCUUACUCACUCGCCUUCCCUCUUCCUUCUCUACCUCGUCUCUCUUCUGUCCAUCUUGCCUUCUACUGGCUUUUGGGCAAAGUUCUAAUUGAAAUCUUUGCAUCUCUUUCUCUCUCUCUCAGGCCUACUUUCUUCUAGAAAAGACUCAUUCUUACAAAAAUCAUGAUAGUUUGACAAGCUGAGGGCAAUUACCUGAUCAAUAUCAGUCAGAAUGAGAAGCCCAUGAUGGAUGCCCCUUUGGAUUGAAAGAAAAGCAGCAGAGACAGAUUAAAUUAAGCUCAUCUCAUUUGGCCCACCACCAGAAGCUCCUGAAGCAAGGUAAUUUGACCUUUAAAAACAUGGAGAGACCCUCUGCAUCACCCCAGUAUGAAGAAAGCUCUCAGACAGGGUAAUUAGAAAAUUUCAGUAAUUGCUGGCUUUGCAAGUAAGAAUUUUUUUUCCAAGUCUUUCUGGAGCUCAAACUAGAAACUAAAGGUAAGGCGUGAGCCCAGUUCUUCAGUUCGUGUUGAGCUGGGGGUGGUUGAGCAGGGAGGAUAUUCCACGAGACAAAGUGGCCAUAGGACAGAGUGGAAGCACGUCAUUGCUGCGCUUCAGAUACUGUAACUCCUAGCCUUUUCAACUUGGCUGGUUAAUAAACGUUUUAAUUAUACUUUUAGCUUGAUACUUCUUCUAAAGCCAAAUAGCAAAUCUCUUUAGAUUGUGUUGUCAUUGGCUGUUAACAUAGCUAACAAAGCCAUAAAACUCAGGUAUUUAGCCAUCAUUACUUCUCUGUGGCUCGAAUCAUCAGAAUCCACAACUGCUCUCUCAGAGGAAUUAAUAUACACUCAGGUGGAAACAUCACUGCAAGGCGACCCCCGUCCAAUGACUCUACACGUUUUUAAUGAUUCUGCAGUUACAGAAACGACCCAUGAUUUACACGGCGAUCGCAGCCAUCUUCCUUCCUUGCUGACAUAUCCGAAGAUGUUCUCAACUCUUUCCUCUUCAUCUCAUGCAAAGAUCUGUGGCCCUGGAAACCACAGACCAAACACGCCAGGAUUAAACAUCCAGGGACCCAGCAUGAGACGCUCGGUCCAGAGAAGUCCAGAGUCAGAGAGACCCUUAAGAAAUCAUCAUUUGGGGAGUUCCCUGGUGGCCUAUCAGGUUAGGGAUCUGGCUUUGUCACUGUUGUGGGCUUGGGUCACUGCCAUGGUGUGGGUUUGAUCCUCGGCUCAGGAACGUCAGCAUGCUGUGGGCGUGGCUUAAAAAAAAAAGAAGUUGUCUUUGUAUUCAGUGUCCUCAAACUUUAGAUACAUACGAAUUAUCCAGAAAGCCUGGGAAGCGUCCCCAGGGAUGGGCGUUUUUCACAGGUGCCCCCAGGUGAGGCUGUGCUCGUGGUCCAGAAACCACAGGUUAAGAAGCAGUAACUUUCGUUCUCCUUUCUGUUAGCCUCCUGGUGGUGUGGAAAGGGCACCAGCUUAAGGCGAUGAGACUCUAUCCUGUUUUGCACAGGCCCCCAUGGAAAUGGACUGAGCCUCGUUGAGUCAAAUAGCGCCGUCCACAGCUUUGACGUCCUGCCCCUUCCCUGUGAAGAACCGCCACCUCUUCCUCCAGCCGGUGUCCCUUUGUUUCUCCGGCCAGUCAGUUGAAAUGCAUUCUACCUGCGAAAGUGUUCCUAAGGAAAAUGGUGCAUUUUUAUUUGAUUUUUUUUUUUACCGUUAAAUAUGCAUGCCUCCCUUAUUCACAUAUGAGAGUAGGCUUUCAGCGCCCCCCCUAAGUGUAGGGGGCUUCUUCCCGGGAAGAAGAGACAUUUGUAAAUUGGUUCAUUUUGCUCAGAGGUAAAGCCAAAGGGCUUUGAGGUCGUCGCCUCUCCUCUCCUCUCCUCCCUCAAGCCCGCCCCCGGCCUCCUCGUUAUUCCUCCCACGGGGCAGGCCCCUCCCCCUCUAGGGCCAGCUGUGUUCUCGGUUUGGGGUGCUCUCCUCCUAGGUACCCCGCGACGUCUCUGCUGGAAUUCCGUCUCCUCCCAACCUCCGCCUCUGUGCUCUUCAUCAUCGCAACAGCAUCUGGAUAUGUGUGUGUCCUCUUUCCCAUGGCACCUGUUUCCGUGUGACAUGCUAUUUAAUCUAUUUAAACGUAUCCUUGUUAUUUUCCGCUACUUGCUAAAUACAUUAGAAACUCCACAAAGGUUGGAAUUUUGUUUUUAGGCUAACGCAGACCAGGCAGCUCGGGCCGUGUCUGGGCAUAGUAACGACUUCAUCAGUUUUGCGGGAUGAGAGCAUAAAUGUCCAGUUGCUUAGGGUGGUCUUUUCACGAGCAUUUGCGUCACCGACUAAGACAGGCUGGAGGAGGCCACACUCAAGAAAAGUGGAAAUCCACUUUGUUUAGAUUCACCUAAAUUCGUAUAUGAUUCCGAAAGUGUAUUUGAAUAGUAGGUAUUCUAAGGGGAGCUUGGAUUAUACUACAAAGAUUUUUAACUGCUCAGCUGGCUAUUUCAGACUCUUUCACAUGAAUAUUGAUUACGGUUGUAACUGCGGCCGACGACUCGGAGACACUAGCAAACGGCAGGGAAAUGGUUGGCUGUGUGAGAACCAUAAUUAAAGUUCCCCAGGUUGCAUUGGAAAUAUGGUUAGGGGAGUUCCUGUCCUGGCGCAGCAGACACGAAUCCGACCAGGAACCGUGAGGUUGCGGGGUUCGAUCCCUGGCCUUGCUCAGUGGGUUAAGGAUCUGGUGUUGCCGUGAGCUGUGCUGUAGGUCGCAGACAUGGCUCAGAUCUGGCGUUGCUGUGACUGUGGUGGAGGCCGGCAGCUGCAGCUCCGAUUAGAUCCCCUAGCCUGGGAACCUCCAUAUGCCGCAGGUGUGGCCCUAAAAAGACAAAAGACAAAAGACAAAAAAAAAAAAAAAAAAAAAA
This 3825-nucleotide long non-coding RNA is filed under the name Sus scrofa (pig). RNAcentral describes it as "lncRNA (ENSSSCG00050049614.1)". Lineage: Eukaryota; Metazoa; Chordata; Mammalia; Artiodactyla; Suidae. The record is from RNAcentral.